UACGUAGGGGGCAAGCGUUGUCCGGAAUCAUUGGGCGUAAAGAGCGCGCAGGCGGUCGUUCAAGUCGAGUGUGAAAGCCCCCGGCUCAACUGGGGAGGGUCAUUCGAUACUGAUCGACUCGAAGGCAGGAGAGGGAAGUGGAAUUCCCGGUGUAGUGGUGAAAUGCGUAGAUAUCGGGAGGAACACCAGUGGCGAAGGCGACUUCCUGGCCUGUUCUUGACGCUGAGGAGCGAAAGCCAGGGGAGCAAACGGG
Molecule: ribosomal RNA, 253 nt
Filed under: uncultured bacterium
Lineage: Bacteria
Description: partial 16S ribosomal RNA
Rfam family: Bacterial small subunit ribosomal RNA
Source: RNAcentral